This 433-nucleotide ribosomal RNA is filed under the name uncultured bacterium. Its description in RNAcentral is "partial 16S ribosomal RNA". It matches the Rfam family "Bacterial small subunit ribosomal RNA", at positions 29 to 507 of the family's 1533-position model. The record is from RNAcentral.
AACGAACGCUGGCGGCAGGCCUAACACAUGCAAGUCGAGCGAGGACUUCGGUUCUAGCGGCGGACGGGUGAGUAACGCGUGGGAAUGUGCCCUUCUCUACGGAAUAGCCCUGGGAAACUGGGAGUAAUACCGUAUACGCCCUAUUGGGGAAAGAUUUAUCGGAGAAGGAUCAGCCCGCGUUGGAUUAGGUAGUUGGUGGGGUAAUGGCCUACCAAGCCGACGAUCCAUAGCUGGUUGGAGAGGAUGAUCAGCCACACUGGGACUGAGACACGGACCAGACUCCUACGGGAGGCAGCAGUGGGGAAUCUUAGACAAUGGGGGCAAACCUGAUCUAGCCAUGCCGCGUGAGUGAUGAAGGCCUUAGGGUUGUAAAGCUCUUUCAGCUGGGAAGAUAAUGACGGUACCAGCAGAAGAAGCCCCGGCUAACUCCGUG